UUCCGGUUGAUCCCGCCGGACCUGACUGCUAUCGGAUUGGUACUAAGCCAUGUGAGUCAUUGUAGCAAUACAAGGCAUACGGCUCAGUAACACGUAGUCAAUCUGCCCUAUGGACGUGGAUAACCUCGGGAAACUGAGAAUAAUCCGCGAUAGAUCAUAAUGCCUGGAACGGUUUAUGGUCCAAAUGAUUCGUCGCCGUAGGAUGGGACUGCGGCCUAUCAGCUUGUUGGUGAGGUAAUGGCCCACCAAGGCUAUAACAGGUACGGGCUCUGAGAGGAGAAGCCCGGAGAUGGGUACUGAGACACGGACCCAGGCCCUAUGGGGCGCAGCAGGCGAGAAACCUUAGCAAUGUGCGAAAGCACGACUAGGUUAAUCCGAGUGAUUUCUGUUGAAGAAAUCUUUUGUCAGUCGUAAAACCACAGACGAAUAAGGGGUGGGCAAGUCUGGUGUCAGCCGCCGCGGUAAUACCAGCACCUCGAGUGGUCAGGAGGUUUAUUGGGCCUAAAGCAUCCGUAGCCGGCUAUGCAAGUCUCCGGUUAAAUCCAACUGCUCAACAGAUGGGCUGCCGGAGAUACUACACAGCUAGGGAGCGGGAGAGGUAGACGGUAUUCUGUGGGUAGGGGUAAAAUCCACUGAUCCAUAGAGGACCACCAGUGGCGAAGGCGGUCUACCAGAACGCGUUCGACGGUGAGGGAUGAAAGCUGGGGGAGCAAACCGGAUUAGAUACCCGGGUAGUCCCAGCUGUAAACGAUGCAAACUCGGUGAUGCAUUGACUUAUGGUCAAUGCAGUGCCGCAGGAAGCCGUUAAGUUUGCCGCCUGGGAAGUACGGACGCAAGUCUGAAACUUAAAGGAAUUGGCGGGG
This 863-nucleotide ribosomal RNA is filed under the name uncultured archaeon. RNAcentral describes it as "bacterial SSU rRNA". It matches the Rfam family "Archaeal small subunit ribosomal RNA", at positions 1 to 873 of the family's 1478-position model. The record is from RNAcentral.